RNAcentral lists this transfer RNA (66 nucleotides) under Stomis pumicatus. RNAcentral describes it as "tRNA-Arg". The record is from RNAcentral. Lineage: Eukaryota; Metazoa; Arthropoda; Insecta; Coleoptera; Carabidae.
AAAUAAGAAGUAAAAUUUUACAUUUAAUUUCGACUUAAAAAUUUGGUGAUUAAUCACCCUUAUUUA